CACUCCGUCCAUCCGUGUGAUCUCGUCCCUGUCGUCUCCUCCUGUGACUGCUUGUGACGUCCACUAGUUUGAGUUGUCUCUUAGUGAGGACAUCCUUGUCCAUCUUCUCUCCAGGUUCCUCUGAUCAGCGUGUGUGUGUGUGUGUGUGUCUCUCUGUGUGUGUGUGUGUGUGUGUGUGUGUG
Long non-coding RNA from Clupea harengus (Atlantic herring), 182 nucleotides. RefSeq lists it as uncharacterized. Lineage: Eukaryota; Metazoa; Chordata; Actinopteri; Clupeiformes; Clupeidae. The record is from RefSeq and is a predicted model, not a curated record. The transcript has 3 exons.